Molecule: ribosomal RNA, 271 nt
Filed under: uncultured Bacteroidota bacterium
Lineage: Bacteria; Pseudomonadati; Bacteroidota
Description: uncultured Bacteroidetes bacterium partial 16S ribosomal RNA
Rfam family: Bacterial small subunit ribosomal RNA
Source: RNAcentral
UCUGGGGGAUAGCCCGCCGAAAGGCGGAUUAAUACCGCAUAAAACUGCAGUGUGGCAUCACAUCACAGUUAAAGAUUUAUUGGAUUCGGAUGGGGCUGCGUGCCAUUAGCUAGUUGGCGGGGUAACGGCCCACCAAGGCGACGAUGGCUAGGGGAGCUGAGAGGCUGGUCCCCCACACGGGCACUGAGAUACGGGCCCGACUCCUACGGGAGGCAGCAGUAGGGAAUAUUGGGCAAUGGGGCGAGAGCCUGACCCAGCCAUGCCGCGUGCA